RNAcentral lists this unclassified non-coding RNA (272 nucleotides) under Hevea brasiliensis (rubber tree). Lineage: Eukaryota; Viridiplantae; Streptophyta; Magnoliopsida; Malpighiales; Euphorbiaceae. The record is from RNAcentral.
GAUCAGUGGGGGAGCCCUAUGGGAGCUAAUUCGUAUCUCCCGUGAUUGCUCUCGAGAUGACAUAAGGUCUCUUGCACGUCGAACUCUGACUUCGAGUCUGACUUUCCAAGCUGAAAUGCGACGCUUGAGGAUAGAGUUAUAGUUAUCUUAUUGGUUUCACUGCCAACACCCAAUUCUUGAAAUGCACAUGCCUAAUGUACAUGAACCAGUUCCAGAAAAGAAAUCGCUCACAAUUUUGUAUGGAGGGAGUGCAUCAAGUAAAGUCCCUCUAG